Molecule: long non-coding RNA, 1907 nt
Organism: Panicum virgatum (switchgrass)
Lineage: Eukaryota; Viridiplantae; Streptophyta; Magnoliopsida; Poales; Poaceae
Exons: 3
Source: RefSeq, a predicted model, not a curated record
CUCUUGCUCCCCGCUGCGGCCCUCCCCCUCCCUCUCUGCUCUCUCCCUCCGCGCCGCCGCCUCCCCUCCCUUUCUCCCUCUCUGCCAGCCUUGGUCGCCCCUCCCCGCCGGCGCUCCUCCUGCCUUCUGCCGCCGCUCGCUACCAUAGGAUCCAGAUCCGGCGCGAGUUUGGCUGGGAGGGAGAGGAGGCGAUCUUGGCUAGAUCCGCGAUGGCCUGGCAGCUCGGGAGCCGCGCGGCUCCUCGACCUCCUCGACGUGGCUGACACCGGCUUCAAUGCACGGGCAGCGCUCCCCUCGCCGCGGCCACCGCCGCACUCCGCGUCACCUCUUCUAUAGCCCCGAUGACCGUAUGCCCCUCCGUGCGGAGCUCGCGUCUUGGAGAUAGAGUAAUCUUUGAUCCAUGUUUUCUUCUUGUACAACCACGAUAAGCAUUGGAUCUGACUCCAAUCUUCCCUUGCGGUGGGCUAUGGCCCUGUGCUUUCCCUCUCCAUGGCCUAGCACAUCCGCUCCGGCCCCAUGGUUCCGACUGUAGCGGCGCUCCCCGUAUCCUGCCCCCGCCGGUCCUGACACCUCUCCGGCAACGUUGGCCUCCGCAGGCUCACGCGCAAGCAGCCUCGCGUAGGCACCGGUGCGACGGUGCCAAAGGACAGGAUAAAUACAACGCCCUCCAUGGCUAUGGCCUACAGUGGCCUUCACCUGGCAUGGUGCCCUCGAGUUGCAGCUUCUUGCCGGCCAAGUGGAGCUACUGGCCAAUGGCGGGGAAGAGAUCGUGUAGUCCCGCUGCCGCAGUUGACGCCCCUUUGCCAACUAUCGUGUGUGGAGUCCAAUAAUGCUAAGGCUUUGAUAGUUGUUCUGAUAACAUAUCCAAGAAUGUUGAUUAAGAUCAUCUGGAAGAAUGAGCUACUCAGCGCUAGCGCCCCCGGGGCAUGAGCAGGUGUCGCGCCUUGCUGGGUAUUAUUGUCUCCUGGAGCUACUCUGGUCGGUCGUGAUGGACCAGAUAGCACUAGAGAUUCUCUUGGCCUCCUUUCUUCUUAAGCAUGCUAUAUUUUUUGUUAAAUUAGGUGUGACAACUGGAAUCAUGUUCUCUUCUGGUUGAUAAAUUAAAUUGGAUGUUUUGGUGCAGAAAUAAAAAAAAGUCAUAGUUACCGAUUACCAUCUUUCUUUAUAAAUGUCUUGCUCUUUCAGGUGUCUUUGCUACUUCUUUUAAUUGCUGAACUAUUUCAGACAUUCAGGAGCACAUGAGAUUUGUUCAGACAUCUAUCCUUAGCUCCUCAAGUACUUGCAAACAACUUGAGAAUUGUGCAUACUCAUGCUGCCCUAAUGGAACAUUCAAACUAAAGAAUGUUCACUUGCACCACAUGGAUAUAUUGUGAGGAUUUCCUGUUUUUAAAAAUUAAAUAUUGUAUAUGUUCGUCCAUCAGAUGAGCAAUUGUAUAUGUUCAACUGAUGACUUCUUUACUUUUUGCCAUUCACAUUGGUGCACAGGAAAAUACAGUACACAAGAAAGAGGUUGGCCUCACUAAAAUGAUAAUUUUAAUAUUAGUUUGCCCAAAAAAAGUAUACUGGAAACAACUACUCUAUCAAAUGAGUUUUGUUAAUGUAUACAGGGGCUCCAAGUUUUAUGAGGUCUAGAACUGAAUAGUUUUUUGUGCCUGUACAUAUUGAUGACAAAUUUACUUCAUUCAAUUUAUUUGUACGCAGCAGGUGAAGGUGAUCAUGUUCUGUCCAUUUGAUUCCGGAAUCUCAUUACAUAUGCCUACAGUGGGAAGAAACUCAUAUUGGUGUAUUUCUAUUUCUACAUAUGCCAUUGAAUACUGGAUAUCAGCAUUAUAUACUCAGAAAUUUCUGCUUCAAAGUAUCAUGGCAUACAUGUUGAUUAUAUUGAUGAGCUACAACAUGAUUUUAUU